Long non-coding RNA from Ananas comosus (pineapple), 681 nucleotides. RefSeq lists it as uncharacterized. The record is from RefSeq and is a predicted model, not a curated record. The transcript is spliced from 2 exons. NCBI's taxonomy places the organism in Eukaryota, Viridiplantae, Streptophyta, Magnoliopsida, Poales, Bromeliaceae.
ACUGGUCGGAGAAUUUUAUGUAAUUUAGCUAAUAAAUAAAAGAGCAGAAAGGCUGACAUCUUUUGUAUUUUCUUUCACUUUCACUUUUUGAGGCAGAAAGAGUAGAGGGGGAAGGGGCAGACAGCACAGCAGGCCAAGAGCGAUGCUGGGAAGUCGGAGGCGCUGCCCGCCGCAUGAUUUGGAUUCGGAGCGAGCUGCCCCCAAAACCCCCAACACCCAACCCCUCUCUCUCUACGAGGCUACACUUCAAAAGCUUAGACAUGGUGCGCGACGCGCUUUUGCAUCAACGGAAGAGGGCGGUAAGUGUGAAAUGUCGGCUACCGCUACGAGUGCUCACCCUGAGGGAGGCGACGGUAAAUCAACUGUGAAACUGAAACAAGAAGAAAUGGACCAGAACUCAUAAUCAUACUGUUAAGAUCCAAAUGAUGAUAAAGCUGCCACUUUGGGGAUUUGUAAGAUUGUGUGUGUUGAGAUAUUUUCGGUUUUGGAGUAUUGUGUAACAUGAAAGUGUGUUGUCUAUGCAAUUUCACCUGUUUUUCUCAUUACAGCUUGACAUGUUGUUUGGUAUUGCAUUCUCUGGCAAUUUGAUCUUCCAUGUUUCAUUUCUUUAUCCUCUUUCUUCUGUACCUCAAACUUUGUGGUGUACUAGAGAAGAAUUCGAUAAAAGAUCCCUUUUGCUGA